UGGGGAAUAUUGGACAAUGGGCGAAAGCCUGAUCCAGCCAUGCCGCGUGUGUGAAGAAGGUCUUCGGAUUGUAAAGCACUUUAAGUUGGGAGGAAGGGCAGUAAGCGAAUACCUUGCUGUUUUUACGUUACCGACAGAAUAAGCACCGGCUAACUCUGUGCCAGCAGCCGCGGUAAUACAGAGGGUGCAAGCGUUAAUCGGAAUUACUGGGCGUAAAGCGCGCGUAGGUGGUUCGUUAAGUUGAAUGUGAAAGCCCCGGGCUCAACCUGGGAACUGCAGCCAAAACUGGCGAGCUAGAGUAGGGCAGAGGGUGGUGGAAUUUCCUGUGUAGCGGUGAAAUGCGUAGAUAUAGGAAGGAACACCAGUGGCGAAGGCGACCACCUGGGCUCAUACUGACACUGAGGUGCGAAAGCGUGGGGAGCAAACAGG
This 429-nucleotide ribosomal RNA is filed under the name Pseudomonadota bacterium. RNAcentral's name for it is "Proteobacteria bacterium partial 16S ribosomal RNA". It matches the Rfam family "Bacterial small subunit ribosomal RNA", at positions 355 to 776 of the family's 1533-position model. Lineage: Bacteria; Pseudomonadati; Pseudomonadota. The record is from RNAcentral.